This 429-nucleotide ribosomal RNA is filed under the name Chloroflexota bacterium. RNAcentral describes it as "Chloroflexi bacterium partial 16S ribosomal RNA". It matches the Rfam family "Bacterial small subunit ribosomal RNA", at positions 355 to 776 of the family's 1533-position model. The record is from RNAcentral. Lineage: Bacteria; Bacillati; Chloroflexota.
UGGGGAAUAUUGCACAAUGGGCGCAAGCCUGAUGCAGCCAUGCCGCGUGUGUGAAGAAGGCCUUCGGGUUGUAAAGCACUUUCAGCGGGGAGGAAGGCGAUAAGGUUAAUAACCUUGUCGAUUGACGUUACCCGCAGAAGAAGCACCGGCUAACUCCGUGCCAGCAGCCGCGGUAAUACGGAGGGUGCAAGCGUUAAUCGGAAUUACUGGGCGUAAAGCGCACGCAGGCGGUCUGUCAAGUCGGAUGUGAAAUCCCCGGGCUCAACCUGGGAACUGCAUUCGAAACUGGCAGGCUAGAGUCUUGUAGAGGGGGGUAGAAUUCCAGGUGUAGCGGUGAAAUGCGUAGAGAUCUGGAGGAAUACCGGUGGCGAAGGCGGCCCCCUGGACAAAGACUGACGCCCAGGUGCGAAAGCGUGGGGAGCAAACAGG